Pelobates cultripes (western spadefoot toad) is the source of this 269-nucleotide non-coding RNA. The record is from the annotation of a GenBank genome assembly. Lineage: Eukaryota; Metazoa; Chordata; Amphibia; Anura; Pelobatidae.
AGGCAAGAUCCUGGGAAAAAUCUUGUAAACCCACCCCUUUACCAGGAUACUGUAGGAACUUCUUUGGUCCCAAAAGGCCAGGCGAUUUCCCUUUUACGGAGAUCAAAACCUCUCUUUCCAGUAAUAUUACGCAGUGGGACUUCAUAUGGGUAAGACCUAUGGGUUCAUUAGAGCAGGAAGGUAGUCCGGACUUAAAGGAACCCCUAGUUGCCCCCACAGACACCCCAGUGGGGCCAUUAGCUCCAUAAUUUUUUACUCCCAUGAUACCC